AGUGAACGCUGGCGGUAGGCCUGACACAUGCAAGUCGAACGGCAGCACAGUAAGAGCUUGCUCUUACGGGUGGCGAGUGGCGGACGGGUGAGGAAUACAUCGGAAUCUACUUUUUCGUGGGGGAUAACGUAGGGAAACUUACGCUAAUACCGCAUACGACCUACGGGUGAAAGCAGGGGGUCUUCGGACCUUGCGCGAUUGAAUGAGCCGAUGUCGGAUUAGCUAGUUGGCGGGGUAAAGGCCCACCAAGGCGACGAUCCGUAGCUGGUCUGAGAGGAUGAUCAGCCACACUGGAACUGAGACACGGUCCAGACUCCUACGGGAGGCAGCAGUGGGGAAUAUUGGACAAUGGGCGCAAGCCUGAUCCAGCCAUACCGCGUGGGUGAAGAAGGCCCUCGGGUUGUAAAGCCCUUUUGUUGGGAAAGAAAAGCAGCAGGUUAAUACCCCGCUGUUCUGACGGUACCCAAAGAAUAAGCACCGGCUAACUUCGUG
This 492-nucleotide ribosomal RNA is filed under the name uncultured bacterium. RNAcentral describes it as "partial 16S ribosomal RNA". It matches the Rfam family "Bacterial small subunit ribosomal RNA", at positions 29 to 507 of the family's 1533-position model. The record is from RNAcentral.